AACCUGCGGAGGGAUCAUUACUGAGUGAGGGCUCACGCCCGACCUCCAACCCUUUGUGAACACAUCUUGUUGCUUCGGGGGCGACCCUGCCGGCACUACGUCGCCGGGCGCCCCCGAAGGUCUCCAAACACUGCAUCUUUGCGUCGGAGGUUAAACAAAUUAAACAAAACUUUCAACAACGGAUCUCUUGGUUCUGGCAUCGAUGAAGAACGCAGCGAAAUGCGAUAAGUAAUGUGAAUUGCAGAAUUCAGUGAAUCAUCGAAUCUUUGAACGCACAUUGCGCCCUUUGGUAUUCCGAAGGGCAUGCCUGUUCGAGCGUCAUUUCACCACUCAAGCCUGGCUUGGUAUUGGGCGUCGCGGCUCCGCGCGCCUUAAAGUCUCCGGCUGAGCCAUUCGUCUCUAAGCGUUGUGGAUUUUCUAAUUCGCUUCGGAGUGCGGGUGGCCGCGGCCGUUAAAUCUUUACUCAAGGUUGACCUCGGAUCAGGUAGGGAUA
RNAcentral lists this ribosomal RNA (493 nucleotides) under Pseudocercospora lythri. RNAcentral's name for it is "eukaryotic LSU rRNA". The stretch from base 168 to 321 matches the Rfam family "5.8S ribosomal RNA". The record is from RNAcentral. Lineage: Eukaryota; Fungi; Ascomycota; Dothideomycetes; Mycosphaerellales; Mycosphaerellaceae.